This is a non-coding RNA of Geopyxis carbonaria, 73 nucleotides long. NCBI's taxonomy places the organism in Eukaryota, Fungi, Ascomycota, Pezizomycetes, Pezizales, Tarzettaceae. The record is from the annotation of a GenBank genome assembly.
GGUUGCAUGGUGUAGUGGCUAUCACGUUUGCCUCACACGCAAAAGGUCGCCAGUUCGAUCCUGGCUGCAAUCA